This is a non-coding RNA of Podarcis lilfordi (Lilford's wall lizard), 86 nucleotides long. Lineage: Eukaryota; Metazoa; Chordata; Lepidosauria; Squamata; Lacertidae. The record is from the annotation of a GenBank genome assembly.
GCAGUUCGAAAGGAACCCGAAGGCUCUGGAGCGCAGCGGGAACUCCCGCUGCGCUCCUGAGGCUUUGGGUUACCUUCACUGAAGGC